This 100-nucleotide small nucleolar RNA is filed under the name Marmota marmota marmota (Alpine marmot). Lineage: Eukaryota; Metazoa; Chordata; Mammalia; Rodentia; Sciuridae. The record is from RNAcentral.
AAAGCAUUGAUGUGAGUGUGCUACAUGAGGGGCAAGUGUUUUAAAUAAUGCUCCAUUCUUAUCCAAUGACUGGAAUCUGAUAGCAAUCCUUGCUAGAAGU